This 504-nucleotide ribosomal RNA is filed under the name uncultured bacterium. RNAcentral describes it as "partial 16S ribosomal RNA". It matches the Rfam family "Bacterial small subunit ribosomal RNA", at positions 28 to 523 of the family's 1533-position model. The record is from RNAcentral.
GAUAAACGCUAGCGGCAGGCUUAACACAUGCAAGUCGGGGGGCAGCAUAGAUUGUAGCAAUACAAUUGGUGGCGACCGGCGCACGGGUGCGUAACGCGUAUGCAACCUACCCGUCACAGGGGGAUAAUCCGGAGAAAUCUGGUCUAAUACCCCAUAACAUAUGGAUCGGCAUCGGUUCAUGUUGAAAUUUUCGGAGGUGACGGAUGGGCAUGCGUAGCAUUAGCUUGUUGGUGAGGUAACGGCUCACCAAGGCGACGAUGCUUAGGGGGACUGAGAGGUUUUCCCCCCACACUGGUACUGAGACACGGACCAGACUCCUACGGGAGGCAGCAGUGAGGAAUAUUGGUCAAUGGGCGCAAGCCUGAACCAGCCAUGCCGCGUGCAGGAUGACGGCUCUAUGAGUUGUAAACUGCUUUUGUACGAGGGUAAAGUGGGUUACGUGUAACCUAUUGAAAGUAUCGUACGAAUAAGGAUCGGCUAACUCCGUGCCAGCAGCCGCCGUAA